UGAGCUUGAAAUCGCCAGGCUAUGCAGUCUCAUCAACGAUCCAAUUUUGGGGCGUGGAUACACACAUCCUACUACGGUGAAGUCUUGGCUUAUGAAUAUUAAUUAGUUUUUGUGACGUAGGUGCAGUGGGUCAAACAAGCAACCGGUUUAACUAAACAUUAAUCAAAGAUUAAAAAUUGAUUAGGGUAGCCUACGUGAAUUGACAUUCCUGGAGGGUUACUAAGCAACGUCAGUCUGUCUUAAUUAAUAUUCAUAAACUAAGCCUUCGCCAUAGUAUGAUUUUCUGACUCUGGUCCCAGACAUAAUUUAUUCCGCAUGUGGUCAAAGGAACCAGUCGGUGGCGCUUUAGCGCAACAUGUACAAAUAUGUUAUGUCUACACCAGCCAGAUGGAUAAUUCAUUAAUAACGAGCACAUGGGGUCGCUCUGGCUAAAACAGCAUACAUGGAGAAUUUCAAAAGGCUUGCGCAUUAACGAGGCUCAAUGUUCCACCGCGUAUUAUUGACUUUUUCCUUCGUCCACUUUUGCGCAAAGGGAAAAUGUUGUAAGCGGUCCCUGUGGAUAUACCGUGUCUUCAUGAGGAGUUGAGCGCAAAUAAGGGGGCGGGUGAUGAUAAUGUGUGAAGAGUGGCAGCAACUUCUCACUACACGGCAACAUUUUCCGUUCUUCUUCAGGCGACAUGCACAUUCUUUCUAAAGAAGCUCCAAGGAGGAAGGCUGGUGGUGGACAUGGUGAAAAUGACAGGUAAAAAAGUGUGACCCUGGUGUCUGGAUGGGCUCACGCGCUCUUCACUGGACGCGUCGUGUCUUUAUUUCUCAUGUCAUUGGCGCUUGGAUGAUCGCGUUUCCGAGAUAUGCCGAUGGUCUUUUGCAAAUGUUUUAGAUUAACGCAGACUAACACACUUUUAACACACGAUCACACAACCUGAGGCAAAAUUCAGCAACAAUUGAGAGUGUGUCAGAGGCUGGGUCUUUGCGGGCAAGGUGAGUUUUCCUUUUAUUCAACUGGCCUACAAAGUCCCAGUUUUCGGCCCAUGUGACCAUCUCUGUCAAUUGACCGUGCUGAAUAUAUGUAGCCUAUGUGCGUGUGUGUGUGUAUAGUGGAGUUUAUCUGUAGUAUUGAUAAUAAUAAAGUACUGAACACAACAGAAUAGAAUAGUUAAAGAUUCUGUUAUAUUAUUUGAUAAUGGGAUCACUGAUAACAUAAAAAAAAAUUUAAUUUCCGUUCUUCACUCUUUAUUAAACGUUUCGUUUUUAUAUAUGAUUUAAAUGCAGAGUUAUUUAUGUAGCCUAUUUUAAAUAUUUGAUAUAUAUAAAAAUGUGAUGUAGGAUAUGUAUUCUUAAGAACUUUCCUACAUAAUACUACAUAUAAUCUAAUUAAAAUAAUAGCUAUAAUUAAAUAAAUAUAGAGUGAAAAAUCUGAAAUUAACUUUAGACAUCAUAAGUAUUUUACAGUAUCUGUUAACUUUAACAAAAAGUUAAUUAGUUGAAAGAAAAAAGAAAGAAAGAAAGAAAGCAAAGGAAAGAAAGAAAGAAAAAAGAAAAAUUAUUGAUACAAAAGAUUAUUUGAUACAAAAGAUUAGGUUUAGGCUUGUAUCAGCCAAUUAUUUUGUGAACUUACGUUAUGUAUUAUGAAUAACAUAUAUGAUACACUUUUGUUAAGAAUUUAGUCAUUUUAUUAAUUAUAAAACGUAGGUGUCUUAUUAUUUAAUAUUUUUACUUUUGUUAUUUUUAUUUAGCUUUUUUUAAGUAGAACUAUUUGUGAAUAUUAAAGUGGUAUGUCUGAUAUACACUACAGUCAAAACAUAUAAAAAUACAAACAAAAUGGAAUUUAGGAAUUUUGACCUUUUUGUUUACUAAAAAUAACUUACAAGAACAGCACCAUUUUGUAACACAAAGACUUAUUUUUACAGACCCGAACACAAAAUAAAAGUCUGUUUUUGAGUGCCUGAAAGUAAGAUUCUGAGUUUAAAAGAAAACAACAAAUCAAAAAGAUGUCAAGAAGCAAAAAUAUAAAUAUUAGUUUCUGUGAAAUUAAAAGUAUGUUGGUUCAUUCAUUAAAGAUUUUACUGUAUAAGGAGUGGCAGAGGCAGGUUACAGACAGCUUUGUUAGUGUGUGUAUAAAUUCUGGGAUAGUUACCAAACAUGUCUGAUACAGUUUGUCAUAUUAAGCAGUUCUCAAAGCUGCCUGCCAAUAGUUUCCCAAAGGAUUUGUAUAUUGUUCUGGAUGUCAGUCACAUCUUGACAGUUGCAAAAGUCUGUAAUCAUUGUAAACUAACCUCUUCCAAUGCAGCACAUGCAAAUCAUAGAAUUAUAAUGAACUGUAUAUGUAAAAGUUAUUUCAUUAGAUGUUACAAGAUUAGUUCCUAUUCAGUUACCAAAAAAUAUCUAAUUUGCUAUAUUUUUACCUUAGCACCUAAUAACUUAAUCUUAAUCUUUUAAUUUCAUAUCUACUUAUUUUCACAUUUACAAACGAUUAGCAAGUCGUUUUAUCAUUUUACCAGACCGUUUCUCAGGAAUUUGCAUUAAGCACCUGCUUUGACUUCUAUUAAUAUUAUAGCCUAAUUAAUAUUUUAUGUGCAUAAUUUGAUUGAAACAAGCAGGGCACACAAAAUUAUGUACUGUGAAAAAUCUGCCUGAAUGAUCAAGAGGUGUUGUAAUUUGUAAAUGACAGUUGCUGUAAACCACUGAAAACAGCUUAGUGUUCAGUAAAAAAAAAAAAAAAAACACAGUUUGUCAUUUGUAAUAGUUUAGUCAUUUAAUGCAUUCUAAUAAUAAGGGUCUGACAUUAUGGUUGGCCCUUGUUCAGGGAGAGGAGGGAUAUUAUAGUCCAGACUGACCUUUACUUUGAGCUUUAGUUUGAGUCUUUAGAGCCAUGGUAUAAACCUUAAACAUUUCUUGAACAGAAGGCAGAUGCCAGACAAAGAAACUGUGAAGAAGUCAGCAAGAAAAGUGAGGGACUUUUAGGGGCAGCUGUGUUAUACUGACCCAGUCAUAAUGCCCCUAAAAAUCCUUAUUGCUCUUGCAGUGCUCGGCUAUUAACAGCUGUUAAAUCAGUCCUAACAUAACCGCUCCCACAGGAUCUGUUAUAUAGUGAUUAGCCCCAAAAUGGGCUUUCCUUAUGGACAUCAUCCUUUAGAGAAGAGUGUUUAUCUGAGCUUUGUAACUACAUUUGGUUACAUUUCAGGUACUAAAAAUGUUCUUAUGCAGUAAAAUCCAGAUCCCUGUGUGCUUGAGAUCUGUUGCACAUUCAAAUCAGUGAGUUUUAGGUCAAAUAUAUCUGCUUCGCCCAUUCACAGCGCAUUUUGACAUAUUAGCGGAGGGCCAUCCUUUGUCUCCCAGGAAAGCAGUGAGGGGAAUUUUUGAUGUGAAUGGGGGAAUACCAAUGCCGUUGCUUCAUUUCUAUCCGAUUGUUCUCCUGCUAUGUAUUUCACACAGGCAGAGAGAGAAUGUGAAUGACAGGUAGAAAGUGGUGGCAAUGUAACUGAAACAGAAAUAGUGAAAGAAGUAAAGGUUGGGUAAGAAAGAAAAGAGACAAGGCAGCAUGGUUGGAGCAAGAGAAAGAAAGCUAGCUGAUGACUCAGGCUCAUACGCUUCAUAUGUAGAGAGGGAGGAAGGGAGGGAGGGAGAAAUGACUCAUCAGAGCAUGUGGAAUCUCAUAUGGCUAUCACAGGAUCGAGGUUCUCUCUUCCUCCUCUCUGCUGCCUGCCUGUUCAUGACUGUCUGAGGUAAGAGAAGACUGCCCACUCUGUCUGUCUCCAGCAACAACCUGCGUCCACAGGGACAGCAAACUGCAAUGCACAAUGAUCCUCGAGAGCUGCUGGAAAAAAACUUCUUCGGAUAAGACCAUAUUGGAUGAGCUUAUGUAGAACUGCAUAUGUUUUUAUAUACUCUCUGUGAACUCCGGAGUAAGGCCCCCUAAACACAUGUACAGUGGUCCCAACAAUUAUUUGGCCAUUAGUGAAUGUAUGACAAAAUUACUUGACCUUUCCUCUGAACCAUUUUCACUGUUUUUGCAAUGACUAUUAAGCAACUGGUGUCAGAGUUAUUAUUGGCUGCAUCCAAAAUCUUGACUUGUUGCCUCUCUGCACUAUCAGGCAAUGUCUUUGUAGGCCCUGUUUGUGAGCGAAGGUGGUCCAAUGAUCUACAACAAAACAGAGAGGGCUUUGGCGAGAAGUAAGCCUUGAUCACCACGAUCAAUACUUGAUCACCACAAUACUAAUAUUUUGCUACAAAUUAAAUCAAAAGUUGAAAAAGUCAGAAACAUACAUUUGCAAAUACUGCAACUUUCAGAUGCCGUUUUAUUUAUUUAUUUAUUUUAGCCCAACUGUCACAAAUAUGUCCAGGAUAGUGGGAUAUUAGUGAAGGAUGUGACACAAUCAUUGGAUUUGGACAACCCUUGUUUCUUCCAUAUGCUGCAUGCAGAAAAGUAAAAGCACACAUUCAGUAUACAGGUGAAUCUCAGGGAGACUGAUGAGUCACCACUGGAACAGGACACACCCUAUGAACAAGUGUCAACUCCAAACAUCUCCUUGGGUUCCACAGUCAUGUGGGUGUGGGAUCCAAAAAAAGCUGGUCCACAUGCAACAACCGAGAGGCAAUGUGCAAACAAAAUGUAGAAAGGCAGCAGCAACCACCACCUCCCCCAACACUCCUUGGUCCCCUCGGGCUAAACUUACCCGACCUGAUUUCUGCAGCCACCUUCCAAUAUAAAAGUUGGAAACCGCAUAGUUGAACAAGCUCCAGAGCAAAUAAGAGGUCUCAGCAUUUCUCAGUAUGACUGAAUGGAAGGGAGGAGGAAAGGUUAAAUAAACAACUCACUGAAAUCCCAGUCUCGGCUCUUGGCAAAUACAACUUUCUGAAUUGGCAUGAUUAUGAUUCAUUCAGCAUGAGGGUUAUUGUAUAGAGUAUAUGCAUAACAAAAACUCAAAAGGAAAGCCCUUUUUAUUUUUAGAUUGCUCUUAUCUAUUAAAUUUUGUUAAAGGCUUUAUAUACCCAACAAAGUCAGGUUCUGUUUUCUUCCCUCUUGAGUGUUUGAUGGUACUGAAAAUCUGGUAGUAGGUUUUUGGCUGUUUAUGCACAGUGAUUUGUGGUUAAUUGCCACGGCUUUCUGCAUUAUGAAAUCAGGCUUAACCUGUAUCCUGAAAAGCUUAUUCCACAGGAGAGCAAUUCACUUAUGUUUAAUAUCGCGGAUAUGUGGAGGACUUGAUGGAGUUUCAACAGGAAGCUUGCAGUGGUACCCUGGAGAGGCUGCUAGAAUAAAUGUUACUAAUGGAUAGCUGGAUCCAGACGAUUCAUACAUUAUUUUUCUUUUUUUCUUUUUUUUUUUUAUGAAUUUUAAAGUAUCAUGUAAUAUUAUUUAUAAUGUUAUUGUAUAAUGUUAAAAUGUUAUUGUAUAACAACGUGAUUUUUCUUUUCUGAUUUUCUCUCUUUAUUCAGAGAAAAGGUGCCUCAAAAGCUUAAAAGGAAAUAUACACACUGAAGCAUUCCUUAAAUUGCGCUAUUUAAUAUACUUAUUCUACUUUUGGAUUUUGUGAUGUUAAGUACUGUAGUUCUUUAAUAGUUGUCUAACAUUGUUGAUUGAAAACUGACUGUUGCCACAUGGCAUCUCUGUAACACAAUAACAGCAGUAAUUUAUUACCUCACUGAUUUUUUUUUUUUUUUUUGCGAUCAAUUAUAUUAUAGCACGUAUUUCAUUAUUUAUGGAAAUGGAAAUGUUUGUACUAAUUAUACAUGAUAAUUCUAUCUUUGCAUAAGCUUUGUGUUCUGUAAGGGAAAGAGGCAACAUUGAGUCAGCAGUGAGGAUUGAAGGCUUUUAGAAAAAUAUUGAAAGAUUAUUAAACAUUACUUUUUUAAAACUG
Molecule: long non-coding RNA, 5858 nt
Organism: Carassius auratus (goldfish)
Lineage: Eukaryota; Metazoa; Chordata; Actinopteri; Cypriniformes; Cyprinidae
Exons: 3
Source: RefSeq, a predicted model, not a curated record